GUGCCAGCAGCCGCGGUAAUACGUAGGCAGCAAGCGUUGUUCGGAGUUACUGGGCGUAAAGGGUGUGUAGGCGGUUCUCUAAGUUUGGUGUGAAAUCUCCCGGCUCAACCGGGAGGGUGCGCCGAAAACUGGAGGACUGGAGUGCGGGAGAGGAGAGUGGAAUUCCUGGUGUAGCGGUGAAAUGCGUAGAUAUCAGGAGGAACACCGGCGGUGUAGACGGCUCUCUGGACCGUAACUGACGCUGAGACACGAAAGCGUGGGGAGCAAACAGGAUUAGAUACCCCCGUAGUCC
Molecule: ribosomal RNA, 292 nt
Filed under: uncultured bacterium
Lineage: Bacteria
Description: partial 16S ribosomal RNA
Rfam family: Bacterial small subunit ribosomal RNA
Source: RNAcentral